UGUUUAGCUUUCACUCUUUUUGCUUUCAGUUAGUUUUGCUUCUCUUGCUUUUGUUUUUUUUUUCCCCUUUCGGUUCCACUGCUUUUGUUUUGUAGUUAGCUUUGUUUCUUGUUUUAUUUUCGUUCAUCUGCUUUUUUUUGUUUGCUUGAUUUGUUUGUCAUUCCGCACUGCUUUCGUUUUGUAUUGCUUUGCUUUUUGUUUUCCUUUCCUCUGAUGUAGUUUUCCUUUCUUUUCCCCUGCUUUUGUUUUGCUUUCUCUUCUCUUCUUUCGUUUCAUUGUAACGAAUGGCUGUUUUCUUUCCCCUAGGUGACCCCCCCGCUGAUACAUACGGAAGUAAAUUGGAUCAAUUUUGAUUUCACGUUGACGUCAACACCAAUUUUCUAAAACACAGCCAAAUGAAGUGUUGAGGAAAAACAAGGGCAGUCCCCCGGUUACCGAAGCUCUCAUCCGUUCAUUGUGAAGCAAACAGACCAACUACCGUCAUGAUAGAACAACAGCUUGAAGCUGAACAUGAAGGAUAGCACAUCUAGAUGAAUGGUCGCAAACAUUUGAAGGCUCCUCUCUGCACAGCAGGGACAGUGCAGUGGGCCGAGGUCUGAAUGAUAAUCAGCAUCAAACCGAGCGGGGAAGAGCUGCACGUUUCUCCAUCCCCGGUGCCCAGACCCUCGGACCCCAGCGCCCCGCGCCAGACGAGGGUGGUGGGGGUUGGAGAGGCGCGAGUGAGCGGGGGCCCCUGGAGGUCCCCCAGGCUACCGGGCCGAACCCUGCGCGGGACCCCCGUGGCCCUCUCCUCCCCUUUCAGGUGCACUUAAUAUCUGCAGCAGCAGCAAAUUUGUCUUGGAGGCAAGUCCUUAGCUGCCACUCACUGUAAGCAGGCCAUAUUAAAUUUUUAUAUUUAUUGACAAUUCAUUACCAUAAUUGACUGCGCCAGGGUUUCUGGAAGAAGGUAGACUACGGGCCUCCUAAGCGUAAGGAGAGCUCCCUCUGAGCUGGAUUUGCAAUUAAAAACGCGGGCGGAUUGGAAUUUAUUUAUUGUGUAAAUAUGAUGAGUGGAAUUUUUUAAAGUCCUGGCUGGAGAAUUGCACGUUUCUCACCGGCUGUGCUGGUGGAUCUCUUUGAGGCCCGUAUGAAGCUGCUCAAGUUGUCAAUUAACAGAGAUUUGAACGACUGACCAUUUAAAAGUAGCGGGAUUACCUUUAAAAAAUACAAAUAAUAAUGCAAAUAUUUAACAAACAUUAAUACUAAUCUACUUUUUUUUUUAAAAAACGAUGCAUAUUUAUAUCAAUGUAAGUAUUGUAAAAAUGUACACUACUCAAAAUUCCUUAAAAAAAUGUAAUUAAAUUUCAUAUUUUUGUUCCAUAAUGAUACACUUGUAGUAAACCAUUUGUAUAAAUUCUCUCCAAUUCAUUCCGACAUUGUGAAUAUCAGUGAGUUCUUGAUCUUGCCGAAAAAAACUGAGACCUGUAUGAAUAUCAUUAUGAUGAUUUGGAUUCUUCUAAAGGCCUGGGACCUUCAGAGAGAGACACAGACGGACAGAUACAGCAAAAGACGGGGUUGGAGGGGGAGAUGUAGGUUUGUGACAUUUUGGAAAGCCGCCCAUGUAGUGUCAUGUGUCGCAGCAUUUCAGGACUGAUCCCCCACAGUGCUUUGCUGCCAUACCAACACUAGGGAGAAACAAUGACAUGUCCUCAAACAAGAUGAGAGAUAGAGAGUUGACAGUCGGUGUUGUGGAGUAACCAAAUUUUAACGUAUGCCAAAAUACUGUAUAUCUGCACUACACAGCAGUCUGAAGUUAUACUACACUGAAUUACUGAACCACAAUAUUGCUUUAAUAACUGGCAAAUCGUUUGUUUGUUAUGCAUAAGUCCGUGUUCAUGCGCGGGUGUGUUGUGUGGCCGGGCUGUCAGUAGUCUACUCUGGAAUAAUAGGACGUAAUGAACUGUUUGAGUCUUUGCCUUCUCUCUCCCCAAAGGCUUUUUUUCUGCACCAGCUGUUCAUUAGGCAAAAUAUGCAAACAAGGUCUGGCCCUCCUCCACCCCGCCCCCAACUCUCCGCCAGACCUCGCUAAUCAAACAUAGAGGCACGCUACGCAAAGUACUCGCAAUCCAGACAAAUCAAAGACGGCGAGCACUGUGAGCUUCUUCACAGAUCUCCAGAUGUGGUUUCUAACAAACGUUCUCAGAUAUUAUUGCUCAGAAGUUGAUCUUUCAUGGCUCAGGAGGCUAGAAACCACUUUCACACUAACCAAACAAAUCAAUUUCUGACCUCAAAUAGACUCGGCACCAAAAGUGGACUUCCCACUUGUGUUUCUUUUAAGUAUCAACUUUGUCUCAAAUGAUGACU
Long non-coding RNA from Puntigrus tetrazona (Sumatra barb), 2343 nucleotides. RefSeq lists it as uncharacterized. Lineage: Eukaryota; Metazoa; Chordata; Actinopteri; Cypriniformes; Cyprinidae. The transcript is spliced from 3 exons. The record is from RefSeq and is a predicted model, not a curated record.